UUUUUUGAUAAACCCUAUCGGCUAAUCCGGUCAACCCCGGUAGAAACGCACCGAAGUACUUCAGAGUGGACUUUUUCCCGAAGGACCACCACACUGUCUGUCCCGAGUUUGGAUGCUUUCCGACUAAUGCCAGGGGGUAGUCAGGCCGCCUGCAUUUCUGACUACCAGGUAAAUCAAUUGGGCCAAAGCCCAACUGACAGACUUCCCAAACAAAUGUGAUUUUUGUUUCCAGGAGCAUCGAACCCAGGUCUGAAAGUUUCACCCUUCCCCAAAUCUUCUCCUACCACUGGACCACAGAUGCUUGGACA
Molecule: unclassified non-coding RNA, 308 nt
Filed under: Arabidopsis thaliana (thale cress)
Lineage: Eukaryota; Viridiplantae; Streptophyta; Magnoliopsida; Brassicales; Brassicaceae
Source: RNAcentral